RNAcentral lists this ribosomal RNA (468 nucleotides) under uncultured bacterium. RNAcentral describes it as "partial 16S ribosomal RNA". It matches the Rfam family "Bacterial small subunit ribosomal RNA", at positions 28 to 507 of the family's 1533-position model. The record is from RNAcentral.
GACGAACGCUGGCGGCGUGCUUAACACAUGCAAGUCGAACGGAAAGGCCCUGCUUUUGUGGGGUGCUCGAGUGGCGAACGGGUGAGUAACACGUGAGUAACCUGCCCUUGACUUUGGGAUAACUUCGGGAAACUGGGGCUAAUACCGGAUAGGAGCUCCUGCUGCAUGGUGGGGGUUGGAAAGUUUCGGCGAUUGGGGAUGGACUCGCGGCUUAUCAGCUUGUUGGUGGGGUAGUGGCUUACCAAGGCUUUGACGGGUAGCCGGCCUGAGAGGGUGACCGGCCACAUUGGGACUGAGAUACGGCCCAGACUCCUACGGGAGGCAGCAGUGGGGAAUAUUGCACAAUGGGCGGAAGCCUGAUGCAGCAACGCCGCGUGCGGGAUGACGGCCUUCGGGUUGUAAACCGCUUUCGCCUGUGACGAAGCGUGAGUGACGGUAAUGGGUAAAGAAGCACCGGCUAACUACGUG